Molecule: ribosomal RNA, 446 nt
Filed under: uncultured bacterium
Lineage: Bacteria
Description: partial 16S ribosomal RNA
Rfam family: Bacterial small subunit ribosomal RNA
Source: RNAcentral
CCUACGGGUGGCAGCAGUCGAGAAUCAUUGUCAAUGGGGGAAACCCUGAUCGUGCGAAGCCGCGUGGGGGAAUGAAGGACUUCGGAUUGUAAACCUCUGUUAUGUGGGAACAAAUUAAAAAGAUAGUACCACAAUAGGAAUAGAUGGCUAACUCUGUGCCAGUAACCGCGUUAAUACAGAGGCGUCAAGCGGUGUUCGGCAUCACUGGGCGUAAAGCGUGCGUAGGCUGGUGCGUACAGCGGGUGGGAAAGGUCCGGGGUCAAACCGCGGAGGGCACAGGAUACUGGGAGUCUAGAGUAAGGGAGGGGGAACCGGAAUGCUCGGUGUAGCGGUGAAAUGCGUAGAUAUCGAGAAGAACACUCAUGGCGAAGGCGGGUUCCUGGACAUUAACUGACGCUGAGGCACGAAGGCCAGGGGAGCGAAAGGGAUUAGAUACCCGGGUAGUC